Molecule: transfer-messenger RNA, 277 nt
Filed under: Planctomycetes bacterium RIFOXYB12_FULL_42_10
Lineage: Bacteria; Pseudomonadati; Planctomycetota
Description: partial transfer-messenger RNA
Rfam family: transfer-messenger RNA
About the family: Bacterial tmRNA, also known as 10Sa RNA or SsrA, is named for its dual tRNA and mRNA-like properties. Its role is to liberate the mRNA from a stalled ribosome.
Source: RNAcentral
CAAAAUGAUUUAAAUGCCGAAUAUCCAAUGGCAAUGGCUGCUUAAAUAACAGUCACGUUUCAUUAGUCUUACCUGCGAGGUUAAUGAAACGACAAUUUGCAGGUUAGUUUGAUCCCAGUGUCUGGUGGGGAUUGAAUGAACUUCUUAAACUGGGCUGGUCAUCGGAAACCCUGUCAGUUGGGGUUCUAAAUGACGAGACUCAAAAAAUUGACUAUAUACGUAGAAGCCUAUGCUGAGAUGUCUAGGGACGCGGGUUCAAUUCCCGCCGCCUCCACCA